Molecule: ribosomal RNA, 1008 nt
Filed under: Triticum aestivum (bread wheat)
Lineage: Eukaryota; Viridiplantae; Streptophyta; Magnoliopsida; Poales; Poaceae
Description: partial small subunit ribosomal RNA
Source: RNAcentral
AUGGCUUCUCCCCGGCACCUGCUCCCCCUCCUCCUCCUGCUCGCCCUCCUCGCCCCCUCCUCGUCGGCGGCGCCGGGCGUCAUCCGGCUGCCGCGCGCCGGGGCCUGCGCCGCGCCGGCGGACCCGGCCGUCUACGACCGCCCCGUGAUCGGCAUCGUCACGCACCCGGGCGACGGCGCGGCCGGGAGGAUCGACAACGGCACCUCCACCUCCUACAUCGGCGCCUCCUACGUCAAGUUCGUCGAGGCCGGCGGCGCCCGCGUCAUCCCGCUCAUCUACAACGAGCCCGACGAGCGCCUCCUCGAGAAACUCAGUUUGGUGAACGGCGUGCUGUUUACUGGUGGAUCAGUGAAGAGGGGUCCAUAUUUUGAGACGAUUAAGAAAGUGUUUCAGUAUGUCUUGGACAAGAAUGAUGCAGGAGUUCCAUUUCCAUUGUUUGCACAGUGUCUUGGCUUUGAGCUUGUAAGCAUGAUUGUGAGCAAGGACAAUAAUAUUUUGGAGUCAUUCCACGCCUCAGAUCAAGCAUCAACUCUCCAGUUCCCCAAUUAUUCUUCACUUCAGGGAUCAGUAUUUGAAAGAUUUCAUCCUGAUCUCAUCAAGAAACUCAGCACCAGUUGUCUUGUCAUGCAAAAUCACAAAUAUGGUAUAUCUCCAAAGAGAUUGCGAGAGAAUGACGCGUUAUCAAGUUUCUUCAAGAUUCUGACUAUAUCCCCUGAUGAAAAUGGUGAGGUUUACGUCUCAACCGUUGAAGCACAGAAAUAUCCAAUCACUUGCACUCAGUGGCACCCUGAGAAAGCCAUUUUCGAAUGGCGUAAACCAAUGAUUCCACACAGCGAGGAUGCAGUACAAGUGACACAAAAUUUUGCCAACUACUUUAUCAGCCAAGCCCGCAAGUCGCCAAACAGGCCGCCUGCCGACAAGGUGCUGGACAACCUGAUCUACAACUACAUCCCUACAUUUUCCGGGAAAACCUCGAAAUCCUUCGAGUUGGUGUACCUCUUCUCCUGA